UCAGCUCCACGCCUUCAAUCUUAUCCACAACUCCUAAAAGAAAUACAAUAAUCCAGUGCUCUCAUCUCCACCUUAAUUAUCGUGGUACACAACGCCAUUAACGUUGUACAUUCUUUCCGAUAUUACCCUUUGCGUAGGUAAAAUAAACAAACACAAUCUGUUGCGCACCUACACUAUAAAAACCAUACCGAACAUCAGGUGAUUCCUAUCGAAAAUAUCUAAAUUUAACUAUCAAUCCACAAUCUUUCUAUUCUUCCCCAAAUACACAGUCUUUUACAAGUUUUUUUCUAUCUCAAUCAAUCACAUUUCUAAAUUUUCUCUCUGCAUUUGACCUAACAAUGGCUACAAUCAUCACCUGCUCAGCUCUCUCUUCGAUCAGAGCAUCUUCUGAACCCGGAUCCGUCAAUAAAUCGGAUCCGACCCGGAAGAAACCCGCUUCCUCGGUUUCGUGGUG
This 454-nucleotide long non-coding RNA is filed under the name Eutrema salsugineum. RNAcentral's name for it is "long non-coding RNA (ESAL_LNC001644)". Lineage: Eukaryota; Viridiplantae; Streptophyta; Magnoliopsida; Brassicales; Brassicaceae. The record is from RNAcentral.